RNAcentral lists this ribosomal RNA (468 nucleotides) under uncultured bacterium. RNAcentral's name for it is "partial 16S ribosomal RNA". It matches the Rfam family "Bacterial small subunit ribosomal RNA", at positions 28 to 507 of the family's 1533-position model. The record is from RNAcentral.
GACGAACGCUGGCGGCGUGCUUAACACAUGCAAGUCGAACGGAAAGGCCCUGCUUUUGUGGGGUGCUCGAGUGGCGAACGGGUGAGUGACACGUGAGUAACCUGCCCUUGACUUUGGGAUAACUUCAGGAAACUGGGGCUAAUACCGGAUAGGAGCUCCUGCUGCAUGGUGGGGGUUGGAAAGUUUCGGCGGUUGGGGAUGGACUCGCAGCUUAUCAGCUUGUUGGUGGGGUAGUGGCUUACCAAGGCUUUGACGGGUAGCCGGCCUGAGAGGGUGACCGGCCACAUUGGGACUGAGAUACGGCCCAGACUCCUACGGGAGGCAGCAGUGGGGAAUAUUGCACAAUGGGCGGAAGCCUGAUGCAGCAACGCCGCGUGCGGGAUGACGGCCUUCGGGUUGUAAACCGCUUUCGCCUGUGACGAAGCGUGAGUGACGGUAAUGGGUAAAGAAGCACCGGCUAACUACGUG